AAGUGAAAUCUAUGGGCUCAACCCAUAAACUGCUUUCAAAACUGUUUUUCUUGAGUAGUGCAGAGGUAGGCGGAAUUCCCGGUGUAGCGGUGGAAUGCGUAGAUAUCGGGAGGAACACCAGUGGCGAAGGCGGCCUACUGGGCACCAACUGACGCUGAGGCUCGAAAGUGUGGGUAGCAAACAGGAUUAGAUACCCUGGUAGUCCACACCGUAAACGAUGAUUACUAGGUGUUGGACAGUGCCGCAGUUAACACAAUAAGUAAUCCACCUGGGGAGUACGACCGCAAGGUUGAAACUCAAAGGAAUUGACGGGGGCCCGCACAAGCAGUGGAGUAUGUGGUUUAAUUCGACGCAACGCGAAGAACCUUACCAAGUCUUGACAUCCAGGUGGUGCAUGGUUGUCGUCAGUUCGUGUCGUGAGAUGUUGGGUUAAGUCCCGCAACGAGCGCAACCCUUACUGUCAGUUACGACUCUGGCAGGACUGCCGUUGACAAAACGGAGGAAGGUGGGGAUGACGUCAAAUCAUCAUGCCCUUUAUGACUUGGGCUACACACGUACUACAAUGGCGUUAACAAAGAGAAGCAAGACCGCGAGGGGAGCAAAACUCAGAAACAAGUCCCAGUUCGGACUGCAGGCUGCAACUCGCCUGCACGAAGUCGGAAUUGCUAGUAAUCGUGGAUCAGCAUGCCACGGUGAAUACGUUCCCGGGCCUGUACACACCGCCCGUC
This 728-nucleotide ribosomal RNA is filed under the name uncultured bacterium. RNAcentral's name for it is "bacterial SSU rRNA". It matches the Rfam family "Bacterial small subunit ribosomal RNA", at positions 592 to 1398 of the family's 1533-position model. The record is from RNAcentral.